CCUGAGGAGUACGUCCGCUAGGCUAUAACUCAUAGUAUUGUACGGGGACCCGCACAAUCGGUGGAGUAUGUGGCGUAAUUUGAUGCUACGCGAAGAACCUUACCUGGCCUUGACAUGCAUUGUGUCGUCGGUGAAAGCCGGCUAGUCCUGGAUACAGGACGCUUUGCACAGGUGCUGCAUGGCUGUCGUCAGCUCGUGUCGUGAGAUGUUGGGUUAAGUCCCGCAACGAGCGCAACCCUUGUGGUCAGUUACUAACCGGCUUAGCCGGAGGACUCUGGCCAGACUGCCCUGUCAAACGGGGAGGAAGGUGGGGACGACGUCAAGUCAGUAUGGCCCUUAUGGCCAGGGCUGCACACGUACUACAAUGCCCGGUACAAUGUGAACCGAAACCGCGAGNUGGAGAAAUCGCUCUUGAAACCGGGCCCAGUUCGAUUGGAGUCUGCACUCGACUCCAUGAGUCGGAAUCGCUAUAAUGGGUAUCAGCAACACGCCGUGAUACGUUCCCGGUCUGUACACACCGCGGUCACAUCAUGG
This 534-nucleotide ribosomal RNA is filed under the name uncultured organism. RNAcentral's name for it is "bacterial SSU rRNA". It matches the Rfam family "Bacterial small subunit ribosomal RNA", at positions 872 to 1407 of the family's 1533-position model. The record is from RNAcentral.